CAGUAGGUAGCCAAAUCUAUUCGAUGCUCAUGGACCCUGUGCAUAUGUUCCUCCAAUUCUCCUUUAAUGGACCAUCACCUCAACAAAUUGUUGUUUUCGUUUCACUCUCUUUGCGAUUACUUUUAUUCCAUCAACCUGUAGCACCACUGCUGGAAAAUACUGGUCAAACCAAUUAAACCUCACUUGAAUUAAGCAUAUAGCUCCAUGUGCC
RNAcentral lists this long non-coding RNA (211 nucleotides) under Vigna radiata. RNAcentral's name for it is "long non-coding RNA (VRAD_LNC007117)". Lineage: Eukaryota; Viridiplantae; Streptophyta; Magnoliopsida; Fabales; Fabaceae. The record is from RNAcentral.